CUCCAAAUAUUCAAAACUCCCUUCAAUCAUUUCAAAAAUACAAAUCUCCAAAUAUUCAAAACUCCCUUUUCUCUGAAAAUACAAACCCUCCGUUCCAACCCUCACUUGCUCCAUGGAUUCAAUCAAACACUCAGAUUUUCAUUGCUUCAUUCAAAUACUGGAACCACAAACGCUCAGUUUAAAGCUGAUAUGGAGUUUUGUAGUUUCGUCCUCAUCUGCCUUCCAUGUCUCAUGGUCUACCGCCCCUUAUUAACUUUUUUUUCUAGCGCACAUUCUCAUCGUCUCUCACCCAAAACAAGCUG
Vicia faba (fava bean) is the source of this 302-nucleotide non-coding RNA. The record is from the annotation of a GenBank genome assembly. Lineage: Eukaryota; Viridiplantae; Streptophyta; Magnoliopsida; Fabales; Fabaceae.